AUCGAACGCUGGCGGCAGGCCUAACACAUGCAAGUCGAACGGUAACAGCAAACUGCUUGCUGGUUCGCUGACGAGCGGCGGACGGGUUAGCAAUGUCUGCGGAACUGCCCGAGGGAGGGAGCUCUCAACUCGAAUCCGUACCUAAUACGGCAUACCGUCGCACGACCAAAGAGGCGGACUCUGGGGCCCCUUGUCAUGGGGUGUGCGCAGAUGGGAUGGGCUAGCUGGUGGGGUAGUGGCUCACCAAGGCGCCGCACGCGAGCUGGUCUGAGAGGGUGACCAGCCACACUGGAAGUGAGACACAGUCCAGACUCCUACGGGAGGCAGCAGUGCGGAAUCUUGCACAAUGGGCGCGAGCCUGAUGUAGCCAUGCCGCGUGUAUGAAGAAGGCCUUCGGGUUGGUGAGUAAUGACGGCGGUAGGGAAGGAAGGAACGUUUGUACGGGACGUCAUUGACGUUACCCGAAGAAGAAGCCCCGGCUAACUCCGUG
Molecule: ribosomal RNA, 490 nt
Filed under: uncultured bacterium
Lineage: Bacteria
Description: partial 16S ribosomal RNA
Rfam family: Bacterial small subunit ribosomal RNA
Source: RNAcentral